RNAcentral lists this ribosomal RNA (583 nucleotides) under Scinax fuscovarius (snouted treefrog). Its description in RNAcentral is "partial 16S ribosomal RNA". It matches the Rfam family "Bacterial large subunit ribosomal RNA", at positions 1834 to 2620 of the family's 2925-position model. The record is from RNAcentral. Lineage: Eukaryota; Metazoa; Chordata; Amphibia; Anura; Hylidae.
CCUGUUAAAUUAAGAGGGUCCAGCCUGCCCAGUGACAAAUGUUCAACGGCCGCGGUAUCCUAACCGUGCGAAGGUAGCGUAAUCACUUGUUCUUUAAAUGAGGACUAGUAUGAAUGGCACCACGAGGGUUGCACUGUCUCCUUUCCCUAAUCAAUGAAACUAAUCUCCCCGUGAAGAAGCGGGGGUACUAAUAUAAGACGAGAAGACCCUAUGGAGCUUUAAAUUUCUCUUCAAACGCCAGACACAAACAUCUGACACUUUACAUUAACCCGACGCCUUGAAGAUGAAUUUUAGGUUGGGGUGACCAUGGAGAACAAAAUAACCUCCACGCUGAAAAGGCCUCCAAGCCUUGAGCCGAGGGCUACAACCCAACGCACUAAAAAAUUAACACCCAUUGACCCAAUAUUUUUGAUCAACGAACCAAGUUACCCUAGGGAUAACAGCGCAAUCUACUUCAAGAGUCCCUAUCGACAAGUGGGUUUACGACCUCGAUGUUGGAUCAGGGUAUCCCAGUGGUGCAGCCGCUACUAAAGGUUCGUUUGUUCAACGAUUAAAACCCUACGUGAUCUGAUUCCAGACCAGA